Non-coding RNA from Streptomyces zinciresistens K42, 75 nucleotides. It matches the Rfam family "ASpks TB sRNA". The record is from Rfam. NCBI's taxonomy places the organism in Bacteria, Bacillati, Actinomycetota, Actinomycetes, Kitasatosporales, Streptomycetaceae.
CUUGACGGAGCCCAGCCACAGCGGCCGGUCCUCCGGCCGGUCCUGGCCGUAGGACGCGAUCAGCGCCUGCGCCUC